This 450-nucleotide ribosomal RNA is filed under the name uncultured bacterium. RNAcentral describes it as "partial 16S ribosomal RNA". It matches the Rfam family "Bacterial small subunit ribosomal RNA", at positions 354 to 796 of the family's 1533-position model. The record is from RNAcentral.
GUGGGGAAUAUUGCACAAUGGGCGCAAGCCUGAUGCAGCCAUGCCGCGUGUAUGAAGAAGGCCUUCGGGUUGUAAAGUACUUUCAGCGGGGAGGAAGGUGUUGUGGUUAAUAACCACAGCAAUUGACGUUACCCGCAGAAGAAGCACCGGCUAACUCCGUGCCAGCAGCCGCGGUAAUACGGAGGGUGCAAGCGUUAAUCGGAAUUACUGGGCGUAAAGCGCACGCAGGCGGUCUGUCAAGUCGGAUGUGAAAUCCCCGGGCUCAACCUGGGAACUGCAUUCGAAACUGGCAGGCUAGAGUCUUGUAGAGGGGGGUAGAAUUCCAGGUGUAGCGGUGAAAUGCGUAGAGAUCUGGAGGAAUACCGGUGGCGAAGGCGGCCCCCUGGACAAAGACUGACGCUCAGGUGCGAAAGCGUGGGGAGCAAACAGGAUUAGAUACCCUUGUAGUCC